RNAcentral lists this non-coding RNA (94 nucleotides) under Flavobacterium collinsii. The record is from RNAcentral. Lineage: Bacteria; Pseudomonadati; Bacteroidota; Flavobacteriia; Flavobacteriales; Flavobacteriaceae.
ACUGUCUCAAAGGGGUGCUCUAAAUAACGAGCUGAGAUCAUACCCAAAGAACCUGAGCGAGUAAUGUCGCUAAGGGAAAGACGACAAUUUUAGC